CGAAGUCGUAGCGCAGAGGUCGUCGCGCCUUAGCUGCGAGCAGGAGGACGCCGGUUCGAAUCCGGUCGGCUUCGCCC
This 77-nucleotide transfer RNA is filed under the name Paractinoplanes deccanensis. Its description in RNAcentral is "Actinoplanes deccanensis tRNA-Leu". It matches the Rfam family "tRNA". From Rfam's summary of the family: Transfer RNA (tRNA) molecules are approximately 80 nucleotides in length. Their secondary structure includes four short double-helical elements and three loops (D, anti-codon, and T loops). Further hydrogen bonds mediate the characteristic L-shaped molecular structure. tRNAs have two regions of fundamental functional importance: the anti-codon, which is responsible for specific mRNA codon recognition, and the 3' end, to which the tRNAs corresponding amino acid is attached (by aminoacyl-tRNA synthetases). tRNAs cope with the degeneracy of the genetic code in two manners: having more than one tRNA (with a specific anti-codon) for a particular amino acid; and 'wobble' base-pairing, i.e. permitting non-standard base-pairing at the 3rd anti-codon position. Lineage: Bacteria; Bacillati; Actinomycetota; Actinomycetes; Micromonosporales; Micromonosporaceae. The record is from RNAcentral.